Molecule: ribosomal RNA, 360 nt
Filed under: Simrothiellidae sp. 5 FSB-2019
Lineage: Eukaryota; Metazoa; Mollusca; Solenogastres; Cavibelonia; Simrothiellidae
Description: partial large subunit ribosomal RNA
Rfam family: Bacterial large subunit ribosomal RNA
Source: RNAcentral
GGAUUUUUUCUAAACGGCCGCAGAAUUUUAACUGUGCUAAGGUAGCAUAAUCAUUUGUCUUUUAAUUGAAGACUGGUAUGAAUGGUUUAACGAAAUUUUACUGUCUCUUUUGUACUAUCUAAAAUUUAAUCUUAAAGUUAAAAAGCUUUAAUUUAAUAAAAAGACAAAAAGACCCUAUAGAGUUUUAUUUUCAUAAAUUUAGUAAUUUAAUGAAAAUUUUGUUGGGGCAACUAGAAAAAACUAAAUUUUUUCUUAAUAUAAAUCAUAAUAAUUUAUCAUUUAUUUAAUAACACAAAAUAAAUUACCUUAGGGAUAACAGCGUAAUUUUCUUUGAGAGUCCAAAUCGAAAAGAAAAAUUAC